ACAUUUGACAUGCCCCAGUCUUAAUAAUUGCUCUAGGGUGGCUAACAAAAAACUGCCAGAGUUACAUCUCCGGCAGCAUGUUGCUAUGUCUCAGCAUGUGCAGGGUUUCUUACUGAAACCUGCACAUCCAGGAUCCUUGACUAUGGCUACUUUAAAACACUGAAGUGGUCAUGAUGCUUGCAUUAACCCUUCACUGCCUCAAUUCACUGAUGUUUAGGAGUUAAAUUACUUUUGUUUCUGUUUAUGAAGCCAUAGUCACACCAUAGUGAUUCACAUAGCCUACAUAAAAAUGGUUUAACAGAUGUUAGUUUAGAAGUUUCUAUCUCCUGCUCUGUAAAUUGAACUUUGAUCACACACAGGAGGCUCAUGCAGGGUCUUCUAACAGGCUAUUAACAGAGCAGGCAAUAAGAAAUUAUAAAUUAAACAGAAUGUGCAAUAAAGGAAGUGUAAACAUUAGAUCUCUCUUUCCAGGAAGUGUUUAUGAUGGCUGUGCAAGCCACAUGCAGGGGGAAUUAGUAGGGUUGCAUUAACAAAGUGAUUUAACUCCUAAAUUACAUAGAAUUGACUAGUGAGACUGUAGAGGCAUGAAAAAUACACCAAACCUGCUUCAUUAAGAUAAAUUUGUUUUGGUGGCUAUAGUGUCCCUUUAAACUCUGUUUGAGUGGUUCAUUUAUCCUUUGGUGAAGAUAUUGUUGGUGAUAUAUUAAAUGACAAUUAUUCAUGGGUGAACAAAAUGUGUUACUUUCCUAUCCUAUUAAUACUUGGGAUUUUAAAAGAGGUGCCUGCAUAUUCUGUUAUACCAUAAAUAGAACUUGAUGUACUGGAAGCGUAAUCCUUGCUUUAUGAGAAAGUACUACAAGCUUUGGUUUGUUUGUUUUUUUUUCAAAGCAAAUGUUCAAAGCUCCCAAACAGUUGUUAUUCACCGUGUUUGAUUUAUGUUAUAUUUUAUCAGCAAGUAUUAAUGCGUUUUUCUCUUUAAUAUUUGCAGCAAGUCUUUCUGGAAGACAACAGGCAAUGUGAAUUAACCAUCUGCCCUUGGCACCAUGUCAGUUUCUAACACAGCCAAUCAAUAAUUCUUUUGUUGAGAAAUUACACAGGACUUCAGAAAUAUCCUGCUACACCAACCGUGUGUGUACUACUGAACAAGUACCACACUGAAUACCCAAAGAUGAAGAUGUUUUGUUUUUACAUAUUGUCUGUUCUCUAUUUUUCUUCCCUUUCUAUGCAAAUGUAAAUUUAAAAAAAAAUAAUAUGUGGAGUAUUUGGAUAUAGGUAUACAUAUGUUAUUUGUACAAAUAAAUAUAAACAUUAUAAAAACAUGGGGAGGGUGGAUUUAGAAUGUGUAUUUUCACGUAUGUGUGUAUGUACGUAGAUAUAUACACACACUCACAUAUAUCCACAAAAGGUGCAUCUUAAUGACAUGUUAGUGUUAUGAUAAUAUUAUUAGCUUCUGGACAUCAGGACACCAAUACCAGAAUGACAUCAAGACUUGUGAUCACACUGUUAACUAACCACUUUGAGACAUCCCAGAUUGUAACUGUAAUCAAAGUGUUGUAUGUCUGCUUGUGAAGCUGAAAUAUAUAAAGCAUAUGAUACUAAAGCAGCCUGCACUGAAUUACAUUUUU
This is a long non-coding RNA of Pelobates fuscus (common spadefoot toad), 1625 nucleotides long. RefSeq lists it as uncharacterized. The record is from RefSeq and is a predicted model, not a curated record. The transcript is spliced from 2 exons. NCBI's taxonomy places the organism in Eukaryota, Metazoa, Chordata, Amphibia, Anura, Pelobatidae.